UCUAGAACUCGAGAUAUGGGCUGAACACGGAACAGUGUCUGGGCUGCAGAACAGAUUCGGACUUCUUUGUUGUUGCUACAAUUUGGACUUGAAAACGGCCUUGUUAAAUCUUGGGUUCCUCAUGAAAGUUGUAGGCCUAUGUCUUACCUUUCCAUA
Populus trichocarpa (black cottonwood) is the source of this 156-nucleotide non-coding RNA. The record is from Rfam. NCBI's taxonomy places the organism in Eukaryota, Viridiplantae, Streptophyta, Magnoliopsida, Malpighiales, Salicaceae.